RNAcentral lists this ribosomal RNA (494 nucleotides) under uncultured bacterium. RNAcentral's name for it is "partial 16S ribosomal RNA". It matches the Rfam family "Bacterial small subunit ribosomal RNA", at positions 28 to 507 of the family's 1533-position model. The record is from RNAcentral.
GACGAACGCUGGCGGCGUGCUUAACACAUGCAAGUCGAACGGAAAGGCCUGCUUUCCCUUGUGGAUUGCGGGUACUUGAGUAGCGAACGGGUGAGUAACACGUGAGUGAUCUGCCCCCAACUUGGGUAUAAGCCUGGGAAACUGGGUCUAAUUCCCGAUAGGACUGCAGGGUGGUGCCUGUGGUGGAACACGAUUUUCUAGUGGUUGGGGAUGAGCUCGCGGCCUAUCAGCUUGUUGGUGGGGUAAUGGCCUACCAAGGCGGCGACGGGUAGCCGGCCUGAGAGGGUGGACGGCCACAUUGGGACUGAGAUACGGCCCAGACUCCUACGGGAGGCAGCAGUGGGGAAUAUUGCACAAUGGGCGGAAGCCUGAUGCAGCGACGCCGCGUGGGGGAUGACGGCCUUCGGGUUGUAAACUCCUUUCGACCGCGAGGAAGCCACCUGGUUGGAAGGGUGGUGACGGUAGUGGUAGAAGAAGCACCGGCUAACUACGUG